CAGUUAGAUAACUACGAGUUCACAAAGAGCUGCCCAUUAAAGCAUGCCAACUAUGAAAAUGCUAUGGUAAAUUGCAAAGUGGAAUAUAAAUAUGACACUCCUUAUAAAUGCCUAUUGCCUAAUUAUCAUCUGAACUUUGUCAUAGUGAGACAACAUUAAACAGGAAAGUUUUACCUGACCUGUAGUUAAAUAUUAGCUAGCUUUAGAUUAAAAAUACAGGCAAAAUAAAUAGACUUUUACUUUGAUCACAAAAUGGGGUAUUUGAAUAAGUGAAAUCUAAACUGUGCAAUUAGACUGUUUCACACAGAAGAAGCAUAGAAACAGUGGAUAACAAUAGACAAAGUGGUAAUUCCUUGGAUAUGUGAAAAGAAUAUGGGAAAAAAAAGAAUAAAACUUGCCAGAAGGAACCUCAUAUACAUGGGCAGGGUCCCUUCAGGUGUUGGAAGGUGCAAUAAGGUCUGCCCAGAGCCUUCUCCAGGCUGAAAAAUCUCAGCUCUCUCAGCCUUCUUCACAGGAGAGGUGUUCCAGAGCCCUGAUCAUCACCAUGGCCUCCUCUGGACAUGCUCCAACAGUUCUGAGUCUUUAUGUUGAGGACCCCAGAGCUGGAUGCAGUGCUGCAGGUGGGGUCUCACCAGAGCAGAUUAGAGGGGCAGAAUCACUUCCCUUGACCUGCUGUUCAUGCUGCUUUGGUUGCAGCCCAGGAUAUGGUUGGCUUUUGGGGCCAACCCAAUCUUACAGAGAAAUAAGGAAAAUGAGAUUCUGCAGUGGACCAGACUUCAGUGAUUUGUCUUUCAUGAGGUGUGUCUCUGCUCAGACCUUCUGAGCAAAGAUCGGUGCUCAGAGUUUAAUGCUUGUUGGUCAACCUUCUGUAUUUUAAAAUGUUCCCAAAGUAUGGAGAAACAUAUCUGAAGAACAAUGGAACUCAACAUUUCCUCUCCCUUGGAUUUUAAGAGAGGAUAAUGGAUGUUCUCUCUUAAAGCAUUUGUGCUAUUGAUUGUGUGAUAGGUUUUAUCACUUUUACAAAAAGUGGCACCUCACCUUGUUCUGUGUUCAUUACUUUAUUUACUUAUGAGAAAAAUAUUAUCUUCAGAAAGUCCCAGGCAGGGAUUUACCAUCCUGGAUCAAAUGAGUAAAACCUGAUAAUUCCAAAGUUGUUGGCAAGAAAAUAACAGCCCCAUGACAGGUCAUGUUCCCACAGGUUUCUCUGAUAAUCACUAAUUGCUUCAGAAUCACAUAUUCGGAAUGGAAAAGAGAGCUGAUUCCAUCAGGUCACAUCAUUAAGAUGAAAAGGUGACACGCAACAUCAGCUGCCUAGCAAUAUCAUAUUCCUUCUAUUUAUCAGUGAUUUGUUUAUUCUCUUUUUAAAUAAUAGAAAUUAUGAAGUUUCUGCCAUUUUUGUAAGUGCAUAGUAGUUCCUCAUCUGAAUACAAUAAAUUCUCAAUAGUUCCUACGUACAUGAAUUUUCUUCUGAUUUUCAUACUCUCCUACUAAACUAAAUAAUUGCAUUUUUGUCCUUGUUAAGGCUCUUCAAUAUCUUUAAGCAUUUAUAAUGUGUCCAAUCAGUUGUAUAAUGGCAAGCUAUACAAAUGCUGGGGGAGGAUCUUCUAAAUGAAAAUAUGAUAGUUAGGCAUUGAUUUUCUGUAAAAGCAGAGCACUUAACAGCACAAUGCUCUCUCCUGGUCUAGUUCCAGGAAAGGAUUUAGGCACCUAAGACAACAGCUGAGUAGAUACAAAUUAUCUAAAUCAAUUCAGCCACUAUUUAACGUUUGUGGAGCCUAAAUUCAAUAAGGAGCUCCCUGUUCCAUCUUAAAAUCCCUAAGCACAUAAGCCUGUGCUUCUGUAGAUGCUCAGAGAUGUUGUCUAUGUAGCCAUCUUAUUACUUAUUUUCCUUCUAAAUAUGGCUGGAACCCCAGAAGCAGACAUUCCUUCACUUUAAUUGACUCUGAGACUUAACCUAAGAAGUUUCUUUGCAGUGUGCCAAAAGCACAUCUACAGAAACAGGCUACACUUUUCUGCAGUCUCCCCUUUUUUAAAUUACUGGAGAAAAUGACAAUGCUGUUCACCUUUUCUAUCUUAUUCUAGAGUUCACCCAGCUCACAAGUUAGGGUAUGAGUUCAGUUUCUUCAUCAGGAAGCAUUAAACACACAGACUCUGUCUCAAAGGAAAGUGCUUUCAAUGCUAUUUAUGCCUUGAGGUGCAUUUUUGAGAGCAAGAGGAGAAAACCCCUGUACCUUUGGCUGCAGCUGUGCUGCCCCCAUGGCAGGGAGUGCCAGGCUCUCUGGCCACAGAGGCCCUGUCAUGCUGUAGCCUGCAGUGUUCCAGAUGAAGCAUCUACAAAUCAUCCUGACCUGAUAAGUGCAGAAGUCAAGGGAUGCAAUAUUGGGUCUGGGAGUCCAUUAUUAGUUUCAGGUACUCAAAAUGUAUAUUUGAUACCCAUGUGGUCAGUCUCUGCACUCAUGUUAAUCUAUCUCCUUACCCAUACUUAUUUACUUUUCCUCUGGAAAUAUCUCAGAUUUUAAGAACUUAUCUGUAGGGCUGGGGGAAAAUUCAUAUCAGAAACAAUCUCAUUCUUCUCAAGUUCUUCUCUGCAUAUAUUUCUUUCCCUGAACAUUUCAAUUACACAUUGGUUACUUCUUUUUGAGCCUUUGAUCAUGGUAUAGAUCUUUUUAUGGGACAUUUCUUGUUUUGUACAUCUAUCUGGUAUUGAGUUUUUACAUCGCUUGAGAAAUUGAGCAACAUGCACCUGUUUAAUUUAUCCUUAUAUUAUGCUAAAUAUUUAUGUUUGAAUUGUUAUUCUGUUUUGUCAUGAAUGUGUCCUUAAAUAUUUCUUCCUUUUCUUACAUAUAUGUGUAUAUGAAACGGUUUUUCUUGAAGCUAUGAUCUUUAAAUUUUUUAAUUGAACCGUAAUUGUUUUGUUAAUAAUGUUUUCUCUUUCUAGCUAGCCUCUUACACUAUUCUGAUGCAUUUACACAUAUUGAUACCCCUCAGUUAUGAUUUCACUCUGUCAAAGUCCUUUCAUGCAAGCUACUCUUUAAAAUUUAAUUUCAAAAUUUAAAUAUAAAUGCAUUAUAAAUUUAAAUAUAUUGCAUCUACUAACUUUCACCUAUUGAUCUGGUAAUUCUAUCAAGAAAAUAAUCAAUGUUGAUAAAAACUGUUGUUUGCAAACACAUGAUUAAUAUGGCUUAUAACACAGAUCCUUGUUAAGUUAAUAUGUGUUCUGAAAGAAAAGUAUUGAAUAUCUGAUAUUAGACUUAUGCGUUGGGGCUCUUCGGGAUAUAGCAGAAUAGUAGCUUAUUUACAAGGCUGAAUUCUGAAUUUACAAUACUGCUUUUAUCCCAGAAAACUUGUCAGGGAUAGUUAAAAAAAAUAAAAUCUUAAAUAAUAUAGGGUGUCUGGGUUAUUUCCAGAAAUAAGUUUGACUAUCUGUCAACUCAUAAUUAUAUCUGUCAACUCAUAUUGUAACUGAUGAUAUAUGCUCAUUUAUGUAAAGCAGGAGACAUUUUUUUCCUUAUGUAGAAAAUUUCAGAACUUGAACUCAAUACCAGCAGAUGCCACCAUCGUAGUAUAAUAUCUAUUUCCUUAGGAUUACCUUACGCACUACAUUCUAGGAAGGGAAUUUUGCAGACACUUCCAAAGGAGCUGAGGAUCAGCUGUGUACUUUAAGACCCCAGACAGUAUGUUGAAGAUUAAUAAAUGUUAAUAUUAUGAAAAUA
Parus major (Great Tit) is the source of this 3713-nucleotide long non-coding RNA. RefSeq lists it as uncharacterized. The transcript is spliced from 2 exons. Lineage: Eukaryota; Metazoa; Chordata; Aves; Passeriformes; Paridae. The record is from RefSeq and is a predicted model, not a curated record.